Molecule: ribosomal RNA, 449 nt
Filed under: uncultured bacterium
Lineage: Bacteria
Description: partial 16S ribosomal RNA
Rfam family: Bacterial small subunit ribosomal RNA
Source: RNAcentral
AACGAACGCUGGCGGCAUGCCUAACACAUGCAAGUCGAACGAGAUCUUCGGGUCUAGUGGCGCACGGGUGCGUAACGCGUGGGAAUCUGCCCUUUGGUUCGGGAUAACAGUUGGAAACGACUGCUAAUACCGGAUGAUGACGAAAGUCCAAAGAUUUAUCGCCAGAGGAUGAGCCCGCGUAGGAUUAGCUAGUUGGUGUGGUAAAGGCGCACCAAGGCGACGAUCCUUAGCUGGUCUGAGAGGAUGAUCAGCCACACUGGGACUGAGACACGGCCCAGACUCCUACGGGAGGCAGCAGUGGGGAAUAUUGGACAAUGGGCGAAAGCCUGAUCCAGCAAUGCCGCGUGAGUGAUGAGGGCCUUAGGGUUGUAAAGCUCUUUUACCCGGGAUGAUAAUGACAGUACCGGGAGAAUAAGCUCCGGCUAACUCCGUGCCAGCCGCCGCAGUAA